UUGGUCGGUCUUUGGAUUAUCAGCACAAUAGGUCUACCCUGCGUCAUGGUUCGAUUUUUGUUCGAGUUUGAUUAGGAUAUCGAUCUCGACACGGACCGACCUCUCCGGGUUCGAGGUUAGUUCGUCCUCUUUUCGGGAUCUUACUUCGAUACAUCAUCUUUCGAACCAUACCAGUCAUGCCAAGGCUGAAAUCUAUUUCGACCGUACACAACUCUAUAUGCGUAUGCCGAGAGAAAAUUGAAGAGUUUAAUUUUAUAAAGCAAUUAAAUGAACUGAAUAUUACAAAUUUUGCAUAUUUCAUCACUUGCUUGCUUGGCUGCCUCCCAACUAAAAUGUGAGAACCUAGAAAACAUUUGGUUUAGUUGAAGAAAAAUAAACGAGUUUGAGAAGUUUGGGUUAUGAGAUAUAUGUAACUGAUUAAACGAGCAGCGAAAAAGAAUUAGAUAGAUGGAAGCUUAUUACACUAGCAAAGGAGAAAAAAAAAGUCAGGUUACACUUAAUUACUGAGCGAGAGUGAAAUGUAUUAAACAUUAAAAUAAAAAUAAAUCACCACAUUAUGAAUGAUAUAAUAUAAUUAUACAAAAUUUAUUUUUAUAAAUAGUAAUAUUAAUUUUGUGGCCUUAAGUUUUUGGGGACUUAGAGCAAGUGCUUUACUUGUUUUAGGCUAGAGCCGGCACUGAAAUCUCCCGGGAGUUUUUUCUUGGUAAAAGGGAUAAUUUUGUUAAUAAAUUACCACACACUAUUUUGUAGCUUAAAUAUUCUAGAAUACAUAGUUCCUGAACAAUCAUUUUCAAAAGAAGAAGUUACAAAAGAUGGAGGCAAGUCGACCUAAGUCAUUAAACUUUCAAAAAAAACUUGCAAAUCACUUCCAAGUUUUGGCUAAGUCAUUUGCCACCUUAUUUCGUAUCCUAUAGAUAUGCUUCAACUUUGGACUUUCCCUCCUAAGCAAUUAACAAGUUGCAAUUAUCCCAACAUGUGAGUGAAAAUUGUUAGUGCUAAUUAAUGAUCAUAAUUCAUAGCGGAGAAUUACAAAAGGAUUAAGUCAAAGAAUUAAUAAUAUAUCUGGGAAGUACAAAAGGAUGUAGAGAGGAGGGGGAAGCAGUGCUAAAAAGAGAAGCUCUUUUUUCUCUUUAAUUCUUUUCUUAUUCUUACCCUUCACUUCUAGAGUAAUAAGCAGAGAAAUCGUAAGCAUUUACUCUCGCUAAGACGCUAACAACAUCAAAUUGUUUGGAUAAAAAAAGAUAGCUUUAGAGUGAUUCUUUCCUUUAACUAGUUUAUAACUUACCACCUUUGUCUAAGGGAAGGAACUGGAAAAUAGCCACGUUUAAUCCCUGCUAUUAGAAUUUAGCCAGUAUUUAAAAAAUUAUUACUCUCUCUUUUUUAAUUUAGAUGACACAUUUUUCUUAUUAGUCCGUUAAAAAAAGAAUGACACAUUUCUACAAUUGAAAAUAAUUCAACUUUAAAUUCUUUAUUUUACCCAUUUUACCCUUAAUGAGAAGUUUUUAUAGCCCCACAAAUGUUAUGGCCCCACAAAACUUUUAUCCCUUAAACUUUUAAGAUCACAAGUUUCAAAAGUCUUCUUUUUUAUUUCUUAAACUCCGUGUCGAAUCAAACUACCUCGUUUAAAUUAAAAUGGAGGGAAUAGCAUUUAGUCACUUCUUCCGCACCAAAAAAUAUUUGGACAAAGACAUCCAAUUAAACACUAAAACACUGGAAUUCGAAGCUUAGACCAGUGAAAUUCCAUCACAUUGUACAAGUUCAAAAAUUCCCUCAAAAAAUCUAGCAGCGUGUACUGAAAUUCAGACCUUUUAAAGGUAAAAUUCCAGUAUAUUGUAUUGGAGUUUAAUUCUUACGGUGUAAAAUCCUGGACCUCGCUUCUCCCUCAUUUGUACAAAUACACAAUACAAACUAACAACUUCUCCCGUUCUCUGUCACAUCCCCAAGCCACCAAAUCUAUUCCAUUGUAGGAAACAAAUUUGAUAUAGUCACAAUUAGACUGGUGAAUUAACCAACAAAAUGGAACAUUUUGCAACACGUACAAAGUGCCCUAAAUCUUGAUACUGGUGAAGAAUGGAUUUUCCAGAGGCUGGAGACUUCACGUGAUGCAUAUUUCAUAUCUGGAGGUCUUUCAAUAUUUUGCUAACUAUCAAGCAGAAUUUAUGAAUGCAAUAACCGGAGACUCAAGUGGAUUUGCAUUGGACAUAUGCCAAAAUGGUUCUGUGAACUGUCGUCCUUGUGGGGUCAGCCUCAAUAAAUAAAAGAGAAACAAAAAUAACUAAAGAAAAUAUGUGAUUGGUGGAAAAGAAAGCAAUGGUAGGUGGCAGAACAAUUAGUUUUGGUAUUACAAUGUUAUUUGGUUGGAUUUGCAGUUGGGCGGUGAAAGAAUUUGCAAGAUAUGUAAAUUGUCAAAUUUGUUGAAAUUGUCAGAUACCAAUCAAUUUUGAUUGGUUAAACUAUCGGCUCUUCUUGUUAUAAAUAGAGGCCCUCGUUCCUCAUUUCAAACACACCAAAAUAAGAGAGAAACAAUAGAAAUUAGAGAGAGUAAUCCACAGAUUGUAGUCUAUGAGAUAAAUAGUGAGUUGAGUAAUAUUGUAGUCAUGAGGUGUUUAAAAUAAAGAGUGUUAUUUCUUUCGAAGUUGUAGUAGUCUCCUGACACUACUAAGUUCUAAUAUUAUAGUUGUAAUAUUGCUCCGCUCGGGUAUUGUAUUUUACCUCGUUAAAAGAGUUGGUGUCGUUGUUACUCUCUUGUGUUAUUAUUACUUGCCGUGGAUAUUACUCCUGGUAGGGAUAUUAUUUUUCUCCCACAACGUGGUAUCAGAGCGAUGGCAAAUAAUGGUCCGAUGUCUUUUCAGUACCCCCGUCUCACAAAAGAUAAAUAUGAGAAAUGGUGUCUACGUAUGAAAGCCAUUUUUGGCUCCCAAGAUGUGUGAAAAAUCGUAGAUAGAGGAUAUGCAAAACUGGAUAAUGAGGAAACUCUGCCUCAAAAUGAAAAAAGAUAUCUUGGAAAAGACAAGGAAGAAGGAUCAACAAGCCCUCACGCUCAUUCACCAAUGUUUGGAUAACGCCAUAUUUGAGAAGGUGGCAGAUGUUACCACCUCAAAGGAAGUUUGGGAGAUUUUACAAAAUUCUCUUCAAAGAGUUGACAAGAUGAGGAAGGUAAAACUUCAAACUAUGAAAGAAUCUGAAUGCAUUUCGGAUUAUUGUUCAAAAGUGAAGGUUGUUGCAAAUCAAUUAAUAAGAUACUGGAGGAUACAGAAGAUGUCUGUGUGGUAGAAAAGAUCCUUCGCACUUUAACACCUAAAUUUGAUUUUGUGGUGUCUGCUAUUGAGGAGUCUAAAGAUUUAGACUCUAUGAUGGUGAAACAAUCGAAGGGUUCUUUAUAGGCCCACGAAGAAAAGAUCAAAAGGAGACAAAAAAUAUCAUUGGAGCAACUUCUUAAAACUCAAGCAUCCUUUAAGGGGUAUGAAGGUGAAAAGAGCUAUCGAGGGAAUGGACGAGGAUGAGGCCGUGGCGGUCAUGGAAGAGAAAGAAGUAACGGUAACAACAUCAACAAUCAAGUUAAAAUCCACCAAAUAUUCAGAGGUCGUGGUCAUUGUCACACCUUUUUUUCCCGAUGGAUAGGGAGUUUUUUCAAUUAAAGUGACAUAAUUCGAAAUUGAAUUAUUUAUGUAUUCAGAGUCGCCACUUGGAAUAAUUAUGAUGGUGUCCCAAGUCACCGGUUCAUUUUAAAUCUCAAAUCAAAAAAAUUUGACUCUAUUUUACGGUUCGUGAACACAGAAGAUCGGGUAAGGAAUUCUGUUAACCUGGGAGAAGGUGUGAGGCACUCCUGAGUUCCGUGGUUUUAGCACGGUUGCUUAACUAUUAAUAAUUGGCCUAAUCAUCUGAUUUAUUACAUAUUUAAAACCUAUUGUACAUAUUUACUCUUUCACCGCUUUUAAUAUUUAUGAAAUUUGUUUGAACAAGUCACGUUGUUGCGCACCCAUUUAUUUUUGUACACAUUGCGAAUCGCGCCAUGUGAAACGCACCCGCGAUUCACAACAUGUUAAUUUUUAUUAUUAUUUGAAGUUGAGAUCAAGUCGCGUGAAACGCGCACUUGAAUGGGAAUUUAUGUAUCGUGACCAUGCCACGAGAACCGUACCUAUAGUCAUGAUGAUUUAUUAUUAAUCGCACCUAAAGCAAGCUACGAUGUUUGAUAAUUGAUUAAUUUUUUAAGGUUUGAGAUGAUUGUAAGGCAAGAAAAGAUGGGCCAGCUAUAUUAUUUAUUACUCUGGGCCUGGCAAGACUAAAUCUUUUUGGCCUAGUUCUGUUAGAAGAAAGAUCCAAACUCUAUUCUGAUUCUAGUCGACCAAAUGGCCCAAUUGAAUUAUCCUAGCGCACCCUACGUUCCAAAUUCAUUCGCAGUAAUUCACAUUAAAUUUGCCAUUCUUAACAUACUGACUCAGGCUAAAAUGGUACAAAUAUAAUAGCAUGUUUCUCAUAAAACACAAAACUUCAUUCACUUAAGCCUUUGAGUUCACAAACAGAAUACCAAACUUAUGCAUUAUGAAGGAUUAAGAUUCAAGUCAUAUUUCUUCUUCUCAAGAAUUAGCAAAUAAAACAAACAUCCAACACACAUUCUUAGAGAUGUAAACAAACAAAGCAGUUGGAAACUUUUAGCUAGGCCAAUCACAGUAAAAUAUAACUAAAACAAUAAUAUAAAGAGAAAAAUGACCUUUGUAUAGAUGAAAACUUCUUCAGUUACAUGAGCAAAGAAAAUUGCUGAAUUCUUGCACCAAAGGAACCACAAAUCGAAACCCGCUUCGGAAGCCUCGAACUUGACUCCAAAAAGAACUCAACUAAAUAUGGGUGGUCUUACCCAGUUGAAACGAAGCUCUGCUUAUCGAUAAAUAUGGUACAAUGGGGACUAUUUUUGGGGUGGUUUGGUGCUGUGUUCCAGCUAGUUUUGGGUGGCUGUUUCAGCUGGUUUUCUGGUCGAUUUUCAUGGCUUUUCGGGGCUGUUUUUGGCGGUUAUCGGCAGCUGAUGUGCGACUGUUUUUGGCUGCAUUUUUGGCUGAAUUUUAGAUGUGAACAACGGUUUUUAUGGUGAAGCUAAGUGAGGAAGAUGAAGUAUUCUUGUAUAAAAAAACUGUAAAGAAGAAGGAAGCUGCUAGGUUUUUGUUUGGCCUCCAGCUCCCCCUUUUCAUUUCUGUGUUUGUGUUAUAUAGUUGAGAGAGUGACAAAGAUGAGAGAAUCCAUUAAGAGUGAAUCGAAAGAAUUAUUUUCAGAGAGAAAUCGGUCCCCUUCCUAAAGUGUGUGUAUCCCUCUUUAUGGUAGGAGAAAGGGACUUAGGGUUAAGGGAUUGGGCUAGGAGAAAAUCGGCUUUUGGC
Molecule: long non-coding RNA, 5366 nt
Filed under: Nicotiana tabacum (common tobacco)
Lineage: Eukaryota; Viridiplantae; Streptophyta; Magnoliopsida; Solanales; Solanaceae
Description: long non-coding RNA (NTAB_LNC017385)
Source: RNAcentral